GACUCAACACGGGAAAUCUCACCAGGCCCGGACACCGGAAGGAUUGACAGAUUAACAGCUCUUUCUUGAUUCGGUGGGUGGUGGUGCAUGGCCGUUCUUAGUUGGUGGAGCGAUUUGUCUGGUUAAUUCCGGUAACGAACGAGACUCUAGCCUGCUAAAUAGGCUNUCGCAUUUAGGUGCGCGUGACUCGUCACGAACUCACUGGCGACGUAAUAAAAUUCUUCUUAGAGGGACCGGCGGCUUCGAGCAGCGAGAUUGAGCAAUAACAGGUCUGUGAUGCCCUUAGAUGUCCUGGGCCGCACGCGCGCUACACUGAAGGAAUCAGCAUGUUCUCCCUGGCCUAGAGGCCCGGGCAACCCGCUGAAACUCCUUCGUGCUGGGGAUUGGGGUUUGCAAUUAUCCCCCAUAAACGAGGAAUUCCUAGUAAGGCCGAGUCAUAAGCUCGCGUUGAUUACGUCCCUGCCCUUUGUACACACCGCCCGUCGCUACUACCGAUUGAAUGAUUUAGUGAGGUCUUCGGACCG
RNAcentral lists this ribosomal RNA (524 nucleotides) under Chalceopla simpliciella. Its description in RNAcentral is "SSU rRNA". It matches the Rfam family "Eukaryotic small subunit ribosomal RNA", at positions 1197 to 1717 of the family's 1831-position model. Lineage: Eukaryota; Metazoa; Arthropoda; Insecta; Lepidoptera; Adelidae. The record is from RNAcentral.